Podarcis lilfordi (Lilford's wall lizard) is the source of this 78-nucleotide non-coding RNA. Lineage: Eukaryota; Metazoa; Chordata; Lepidosauria; Squamata; Lacertidae. The record is from the annotation of a GenBank genome assembly.
GAAUGACCUGCAGCUCAGUGGUGGAGCAUCUGCAUUGCUUGCAGAAGGCCGUGGGUCCAAUCCCCAACGGUAUCUCCA